AACGCACCUUGCGCCCUUUGGUAUUCCGAAGGGCAUGCCUGUUUGAGUGUCAUUAAAUUCUCAACUUCAAAACUUUAUUGAUUUGAAGCUUGGAUGUUGGAGGUUACUGCAGGCAUUGUCAAAUGUCAGCUCCUCUUAAAAGCAUUAGCUUGGGACCGUGAAGGACCGGCUCUGGUUUGAUAAUCCUAUCUAUGCCAUUGCUGAGAAACAAAAGGUCUUGGCUUCUAACUGUCUUCGGACUGUCUCGCAAGAGGCAUAACUAUUUGCUUGACCUCAAAUCAGGUAGGACUACCCGCUGAACUUAA
RNAcentral lists this unclassified non-coding RNA (305 nucleotides) under uncultured Clavulinopsis. Its description in RNAcentral is "sequence contains ITS2". The stretch from base 1 to 52 matches the Rfam family "5.8S ribosomal RNA", at positions 103 to 154 of the family's 154-position model. Lineage: Eukaryota; Fungi; Basidiomycota; Agaricomycetes; Agaricales; Clavariaceae. The record is from RNAcentral.